GGCGUCCGAGUUGUAAUUUGUAGAGGAUGCUAUUGGGUUGCCACCGGUCUAAGUUCCUUGGAACAGGACGUCACAGAGGGUGAGAAUCCCGUAUGUGACCGGCCAGGCGCCUUCUGUAUAGCUCCUUCGACGAGUCGGGUUGUUUGGGAAUGCAGCCCUAAAUGGGAGGUAAAUUUCUUCUAAAGCUAAAUACCGGCCAGAGACCGAUAGCGCACAAGUAGAGUGAUCGAAAGAUGAAAAGCACUUUGGAAAGAGAGUUAAAAAGCACGUGAAAUUGUUGAAAGGGAAGCGCUUGCAAUCAGUCUCGACGGCGGCUGUUCGGCCUCUCUUCUGAGUGGUUUAUUCAGUCGCCGCCGGGCCAGCAUCAGUUUUGGCGGUUGGAUAAAGGCGUGGGGAAUGUAGCUCCUCCGGGAGUGUUAUAGCCCCGCGUGCAAUACGGCCCGCCGGGACUGAGGUCCGCGCUUCGGCUAGGAUGCUGGCGAAAUGGUUGUAAGCGGCCCGUCUUGAAACACGGACCAAGGAGUCUAACAUCUACGCGAGUGUUUGGGUGUCAAACCCGUGCGCGAAAUGAAAGUGAACGGAGGUGGGAACCGCAAGGUGCACCAUCGACCGAUCCUGAUGUCUUCGGAUGGAUUUGAGUAAGAGCGUAGCUGUUGGGACCCGAAAGAUGGUGAACUAUGCCUGAAUAGGGUGAAGCCAGAGGAAACUCUGGUGGAGGCUCGCAGCGGUUCUGACG
RNAcentral lists this ribosomal RNA (736 nucleotides) under Elsinoe arachidis. RNAcentral's name for it is "eukaryotic LSU rRNA". It matches the Rfam family "Eukaryotic large subunit ribosomal RNA", at positions 133 to 891 of the family's 3401-position model. Lineage: Eukaryota; Fungi; Ascomycota; Dothideomycetes; Myriangiales; Elsinoaceae. The record is from RNAcentral.